RNAcentral lists this ribosomal RNA (253 nucleotides) under uncultured bacterium. RNAcentral describes it as "partial 16S ribosomal RNA". It matches the Rfam family "Bacterial small subunit ribosomal RNA", at positions 524 to 776 of the family's 1533-position model. The record is from RNAcentral.
GACGAAGGGGGCUAGCGUUGUUCGGAAUUACUGGGCGUAAAGCGCGUGUAGGCGGUUGCCCAAGUCGGGUGUGAAAGCCUUGAGCUCAACUCAAGAAACGCACUCGGUACUGGGUGACUAGAGGACCGGAGAGGAUAGUGGAAUUCCCAGUGUAGUGGUGAAAUACGUAGAGAUUGGGAAGAACACCAGUGGCGAAGGCGGCUAUCUGGACGGUUUCUGACGCUAAGACGCGAAAGCGUGGGGAGCAAACAGG